UACAGAGGGUGCGAGCGUUAAUCGGAAUUACUGGGCGUAAAGCGUGCGUAGACGGUUAUGUAAGUCGGGUGUGAAAGCCCCGGGCUCAACCUGGGAAUUGCAUUCGAGACUGCAUAGCUAGGAUGCGGAAGAGGGAAGCGGAAUUUCCGGUGUAGCGGUGAAAUGCGUAGAUAUCGGAAGGAACAUCAGUGGCGAAAGCGGCUUCCUGGUCCAGCAUCGACGUCAGGCACGAAAAGCGUGGGGGAGCAAACAGG
Molecule: ribosomal RNA, 254 nt
Filed under: uncultured bacterium
Lineage: Bacteria
Description: partial 16S ribosomal RNA
Rfam family: Bacterial small subunit ribosomal RNA
Source: RNAcentral